GAUGAACGCUGGCGGCGUGCCUAAUACAUGCAAGUCGAGCGAACAGACGAGGAGCUUGCUCCUCUGACGUUAGCGGCGGACGGGUGAGUAACACGUGGAUAACCUACCUAUAAGACUGGGAUAACUUCGGGAAACCGGAGCUAAUACCGGAUAAUAUAUUGAACCGCAUGGUUCAAUAGUGAAAGACGGUUUUGCUGUCACUUAUAGAUGGAUCCGCGCCGCAUUAGCUAGUUGGUAAGGUAACGGCUUACCAAGGCAACGAUGCGUAGCCGACCUGAGAGAGUGCUCGGCCACACUGGAACUGAGACACGGUCCAGACUCCUACGGGAGGCAGCAGUAGGGAAUCUUCCGCAAUGGGCGAAAGCCUGACGGAGCAACGCCGCGUGAGUGAUGAAGGUCUUCGGAUCGUAAAACUCUGUUAUUAGGGAAGAACAAAUGUGUAAGUAACUAUGCACGUCUUGACGGUACCUAAUCAGAAAGCCACGGCUAACUACGUG
Molecule: ribosomal RNA, 497 nt
Filed under: uncultured bacterium
Lineage: Bacteria
Description: partial 16S ribosomal RNA
Rfam family: Bacterial small subunit ribosomal RNA
Source: RNAcentral